UUUUGUUCCACGCAUUUAACAUGUAAUGCCAGGGAUGCGAAAGUUCAUGUCUGAAAUUCCUUCAUCAUCUUGUAAGUCGGACGAUAUAAAAUGGUUAAUGAACUUACCCGAAGGCAUCCGUAAAUCAAACAAAUCAAAUCAGAUCAAAAAGAGUAUAAUGAACAGAUGGAAGAAAAAGUGGAUCUUGUGGAGUUGGAGUAUUCUAAAGAUUUUUGACGAUAGCGUGUUCGAUAACUCAGAACGUAAUGUAGUGUACCAUAUUGCAGGAUACAUUUUUAAGAGUGUCCCGAAACAUUAUACUGUUUGUGAGGCAUGCUUUACAACAUGUACUAGUACGACCCCAUUUUCAAAACAAUUUACAAAGUAUAUUAUCCUCAAAGAUUUUAGUGGGGAAUGUAACAGAAGUGGUUUAUUUGUUUUUUAACACUCAUGAAAUCACUUACCAUAAAUAUCUUUGAAGAAGAAUGUCAUAAUAUUCGCAAGAUAAUCGAGCAUGUAACGUUCCGUUUGUGAAUUUAUCAACAAUACAAAAAAGGGAAAAUAAGCCUGAGAGUCGUUCAAUGGCACUGUAGAGGUUCGGCGAAUCAAUUGAAAUAUGCAUUCAUCACGUUCUUGUUAACUUGCUGAUUUUUGUAGACAAUAUAAGAAAUCCAUAUCAACUUUUGAAUAGGGCUAAUAAGUUAUGUAAACAAACUUUUGUUUGAUUUCUCUUAAUUUAUUAUACUUUCAACACAGAAAACAUUUGAAAUUGAUUAUACCAAGGGUAAAGAUGUUGAUUCAUGUGUAUUUUUCAUUAAAUUCAAUUCGGCAUCAGAAUAAUGAGCGAAAUAAGUUUGUUUGCAAAAAUCUCAUUAACCCUUUUGAAGAAUUAAUAUUGAAAUGAGGAAAGGUAAAUAUAUAAAUAAAUAGAUGUUCACUCCAAUUAUUGUAAUAUUUUCCUACCAAUAACAAUACUCCUCUUGCGAGCACGCAUGAGGACAUUGACUUAUUUGACGUCUAGGACACCAACACAGUUGCAAUGUGUAUAGACAACAUACAUAUAAAGCUAUGUUUUCAAUUCGCCAUCUGAUUUAACCUCAUUUGGCAAAAAAACUACCCGAUUUAACCUCAAUCUCGCACUAACACAACUCCACAUAGAUUAG
Long non-coding RNA from Topomyia yanbarensis, 1142 nucleotides. RefSeq lists it as uncharacterized. The record is from RefSeq and is a predicted model, not a curated record. NCBI's taxonomy places the organism in Eukaryota, Metazoa, Arthropoda, Insecta, Diptera, Culicidae. The transcript has 3 exons.